This 252-nucleotide unclassified non-coding RNA is filed under the name Hevea brasiliensis (rubber tree). Lineage: Eukaryota; Viridiplantae; Streptophyta; Magnoliopsida; Malpighiales; Euphorbiaceae. The record is from RNAcentral.
GCAGAUUGAAAAAGCAAACAGUCAUGCUGACAGAAAUUUGCAAAUUGAAAAAGCAACCAGUCAUACUAACAGAAAUUUGCAUUGUGACAUACAUAUGGAACCGACCAUUCCUCUUGAUGGAUCAGAAGUUGACAUGACUAAAAAGAAGAUAGCAGAUACCACUGUUGGGGUUUCGUGUAACAAUAACACACAAAGUGCUUCAGAUGUUACUUCUAUAGAACAAUCAACAUUGAAUGAAUCAAUGAAUGCAAG